GAUCAUUACCGAGUGCGGGUCCUUUGGGCCCAACCUCCCAUCCGUGUCUAUUAUACCCUGUUGCUUCGGCGGGCCCGCCGCUUGUCGGCCGCCGGGGGGGCGCCUUUGCCCCCCGGGCCCGUGCCCGCCGGAGACCCCAACACGAACACUGUCUGAAAGCGUGCAGUCUGAGUUGAUUGAAUGCAAUCAGUUAAAACUUUCAACAAUGGAUCUCUUGGUUCCGGCAUCGAUGAAGAACGCAGCGAAAUGCGAUAACUAAUGUGAAUUGCAGAAUUCAGUGAAUCAUCGAGUCUUUGAACGCACAUUGCGCCCCCUGGUAUUCCGGGGGGCAUGCCUGUCCGAGCGUCAUUGCUGCCCUCAAGCCCGGCUUGUGUGUUGGGUCGCCGUCCCCCUCUCCGGGGGGACGGGCCCGAAAGGCAGCGGCGGCACCGCGUCCGAUCCUCGAGCGUAUGGGGCUUUGUCACAUGCUCUGUAGGAUUGGCCGGCGCCUGCCGACGUUUUCCAACCAUUUUUUCCAGGUUGACCUCGGAUCAGGUAGGGAUACCCGCUGAACUUAAGCAUAUCAAUAAAGCGGAGGA
This 578-nucleotide unclassified non-coding RNA is filed under the name Aspergillus neoniger. RNAcentral's name for it is "sequence contains 18S rRNA gene, ITS1, 5.8S rRNA gene, ITS2, 28S rRNA gene". The stretch from base 195 to 348 matches the Rfam family "5.8S ribosomal RNA". The record is from RNAcentral. Lineage: Eukaryota; Fungi; Ascomycota; Eurotiomycetes; Eurotiales; Aspergillaceae.